RNAcentral lists this ribosomal RNA (253 nucleotides) under uncultured bacterium. RNAcentral describes it as "partial 16S ribosomal RNA". It matches the Rfam family "Bacterial small subunit ribosomal RNA", at positions 524 to 776 of the family's 1533-position model. The record is from RNAcentral.
UACGAAGGGGGCUAGCGUUGUUCGGAUUUACUGGGCGUAAAGCGCACGUAGGCGGAUCGAUCAGUCAGGGGUGAAAUCCCAGAGCUCAACUCUGGAACUGCCUUUGAUACUGUCGAUCUGGAGUAUGGAAGAGGUGAGUGGAAUUCCGAGUGUAGAGGUGAAAUUCGUAGAUAUCGGGAGGAACACCAGUGGCGAAGGCGGCGACCUGGACGGACACUGACGCUGAGACGCGAAAGCGUGGGGAGCAAACAGG